GCGAUUCCCUGAGUAGUGGCGAGCGAAAAGGGAACAGCCCAGCGCACAAUCUCCCGGUCUACCAAGGCCGCGGCGAAAUUUUGCGUAUAGGGAAGGGUCGUUUACAGCCUCKUGCCACCGUCUGAUGUGCCUAACCGUGAUCUGAAAUGUUCACGCACGUUGGGUGCUUUAUCUUUCGGGGUAAACGCUCGACACAUGGUUCCAUGGUGGGUGCAAGCCCCGUAUGGCCGCGUGUGAGUGUGCACUAAGGCUCGGCCUCUUUUUCCCUGAGAGUCGCGUUGUUUGAACUUACAGCGCUAAUCAGGAGGUAAACUCCUCCUAAGGCUAAAUACUUCCACAGCACCGAUAGCAAACAAGUACCGCGAGGGAAAGUUGAAAAGCACUUUGGAGAAAGGGUGACAAGACCGUGAGACCGUCCAGGGCAAAAGCCGGUGUCAAAUAUCCUARUUGCGCUGGGACUGCGGCCCCUCGGUCGUAAGGCGCACGUCUGGUUUUGCAAGUUGAAAAGCUUUUACGAGCUCUUGUAGAAUCGUGUGUGCCUCUUGGUCCGUUAACAGCCCAUCGUGACUCUUGUGAGGUCAUUCGUGGUAGCGGAAGCAUCUGUUCGGUACGUUCAUUAAGGGUCGAGAUUAUCGGGGGUCGUGUUAUUGCGGUAUCCCGAGUAGCUUCUCCCAGCGAGAGGCGAAAGGCACCGCAGUGCGCGUCGGUACAUCGUUGCCUCCAAAAUCAAGGCCUGGGCAUAUCCGGAUGUUGUGUCAUGUUGCCAAAGCGUCUCUGAUCCUCGGCGAGAAGUUAACUAACGCUCCGAUACCUCUCUCUUUGCCAAUCGUCUCCAAGCGCGUAAGCGGCUGAAGUGGCGUGCGGUUCGGGUUGGGACACGGCAGUGUACGGUGGUCGACCUAGGUGACGCCGGUCACGUCUCGAAACACGGGCCAAGGAGCAUAGCGUAAAGCCAAGUCCAAAUGUUUCUCGAAACUUUGUGGCACGAGUGAAAGCGAUCGUACGGCUACUUUGCGUAGCCGUAAGUGAACACGCUGAGAGUUCCGGUGCAAGCCGAGAUUCGAAGCGCGCUCCGACCUAGUCAAGGUUGAUCCUCUAGUUCUUCACGAACGAACAGGCGCAAACCUCAGGCCCAUUCAAUCGUCAACUUCGGUUGGCCGGAAGGGCACUGCCUAGGCUUUGAGCUAUGACCCGAAAGAUAGUGAACUAUGCUUGGCGAAGACGAAGCCCCAGGAAACUGUGGUGGAAGUCUGUAGCCGUUUUGACGUGCAAAUCAAUGGUGUCAGCUGAGCAUAGGGGCGAAAGACCAAUCGAACUAUCUAGUAGCUGGUUCCAUUCGAAGUUUCUCUCAGGAUAGCUUGCGUGACAUUAACGCUAUGAGUCUGGACUCUUCGGUACACGAAAGCGUGCUGGUAGUCCGUCCCAUUUGUCUGCAGUUGUUGAGAGUUGGCGAGCCAAGAACUUUGUCAUCUCACUCUCUAGUCAUCAGGGUAGCGUAUCAUUUGGAUCGUGAGCAGUUACGUCUGGUAAAGAGAAUGAGUAGAGUUAGCUCGUUGCUUUCUAUAGCAACAGCAGCGGGGCGUUCUACGCCUCGCACUAUUAUCAAACUUUAAAUGGGCGAGGUACUCGGUAUUUUCUUAAUUGCUUGAUACCGGGGCGAAACACGUCGCGACUUUACCGUUGGGACGAAGGUGAAUGCGUGCGCGCAAAGUGGGUCCUUUCUGGUAAGCAGAACUGAUAAUGAGGGAUGAACCUAACGCAUGUGCUAAGGGGCCAAAGAGACAGCUAUUUCUCGAAACCAUUGGAAAGGUGUUGCUUGCUGAAGACAGCAGGACGGUGGUCAUGGAAGUCGAUAUCCGCUAAGGAGUGUGUAACUACUCAUCCUGCCGAAGCGAGUAACCCUGAAAAUGGAUGGCUCUAUAGCUCUCUCCCGAUGCACAGCCGUCAGUAGCACUUGAGUCACCUCNUGUCUCUACGCUCUGACGAGUAGAAUGGCUAUGCUGCACUGCUUUGACGGCUAUCGCGUGAGCGUGGUCUGAGCGUGCAGCAGUACAGAUCUUGGUGGUAGUAGCAAGUACUCUGGUGAAUAACCUUGAGCUGUGAGGUUGAUAAGGGUUCCAUGUCAACAGUGUUUGUACAUGGGUAAGUCGGUCCUAAGCUCCCAUUAUUCUUAAUGGUUAUUGCGAUCGCUCGGAAGAAGUCAAACAGUGUGUGCAAGACACACGGUACUGGUGUUGUUUAGGAUGAUUGUGGUGAGCAGCAGGCCUCCCCCGCUCGGUGAUGAUAUAGACCUAUAGUCAACAAGGUCGUGAACGGUAGCGUUUUUCUCACUGGAGAAAGUGAACGCUGUGACCUAGUAGCUGACUGUGUCUGACGAUAGACUGUGUCAUUGUGGGUGUAGGUCUCUCUCUCUGUCUCUCUGUCUCUAUAUGGCCCAGUCGUUUUGAUCACGCACACUACGCGCUUCUGCGUCGCUCGGCGAAAGGGAAUUGCGGACUCAGUUCGUAAACCACACCUGGUACCCUGAGACGGUUCACCGUUUCACGGACCUGGCAAUAGCUUGCCAGGCCAGUCGCUGUCAUAAGUAGCUCGGCGGGGAGAUUUCUUCUCUCUUUGAUAUAGAUACGUGUCCUGAAAGCACCUCGAGUGGCGGAAGGUCAACGCUGUCUAGCAGAGUACUCUACUCCCUCGAGUAGAUAACGAUGCUGCUUGUGAUCCGUGAAAAGGUGGUCGAGGGGAAAGAAUGGGAUGAGUGCYCGCAGCCUGCUGCUUGCGCCUGUCCCACACACUUUACUCGAGUGUUAGCCAGGGCGUGGCCGUACCCAUAUCCGCAUCC
RNAcentral lists this ribosomal RNA (2836 nucleotides) under Hyperoche capucinus. RNAcentral's name for it is "partial 28S ribosomal RNA". It matches the Rfam family "Eukaryotic large subunit ribosomal RNA", at positions 71 to 1862 of the family's 3401-position model. Lineage: Eukaryota; Metazoa; Arthropoda; Malacostraca; Amphipoda; Hyperiidae. The record is from RNAcentral.